GCUCGUAGUUCAGUGGUAGAACAGCAGACUGUUAAUCUGCAUGUCGUAGGUUCAAUCCCUACCGAGUCAGCUA
RNAcentral lists this transfer RNA (73 nucleotides) under Caudoviricetes sp. RNAcentral describes it as "tRNA-Asn". It matches the Rfam family "tRNA". From Rfam's summary of the family: Transfer RNA (tRNA) molecules are approximately 80 nucleotides in length. Their secondary structure includes four short double-helical elements and three loops (D, anti-codon, and T loops). Lineage: Duplodnaviria; Heunggongvirae; Uroviricota; Caudoviricetes. The record is from RNAcentral.